GCGCGCGUAGCUCAGCGGUUAGAGCUCUGGUCUUACACACCAGCGGUCGGGGGUUCGAUUCCCUCCGCGCGCACCC
RNAcentral lists this transfer RNA (76 nucleotides) under Dietzia maris. RNAcentral's name for it is "tRNA-Val". It matches the Rfam family "tRNA". Rfam says of the family: Transfer RNA (tRNA) molecules are approximately 80 nucleotides in length. Their secondary structure includes four short double-helical elements and three loops (D, anti-codon, and T loops). Further hydrogen bonds mediate the characteristic L-shaped molecular structure. tRNAs have two regions of fundamental functional importance: the anti-codon, which is responsible for specific mRNA codon recognition, and the 3' end, to which the tRNAs corresponding amino acid is attached (by aminoacyl-tRNA synthetases). tRNAs cope with the degeneracy of the genetic code in two manners: having more than one tRNA (with a specific anti-codon) for a particular amino acid; and 'wobble' base-pairing, i.e. permitting non-standard base-pairing at the 3rd anti-codon position. RNAcentral also lists the same sequence under 4 other names. Lineage: Bacteria; Bacillati; Actinomycetota; Actinomycetes; Mycobacteriales; Dietziaceae. The record is from RNAcentral.